RNAcentral lists this ribosomal RNA (843 nucleotides) under Triticum aestivum (bread wheat). RNAcentral's name for it is "partial small subunit ribosomal RNA". Lineage: Eukaryota; Viridiplantae; Streptophyta; Magnoliopsida; Poales; Poaceae. The record is from RNAcentral.
AUGUCCAAAAGCACAAUUCACCGUAGGUUGAAGGAGAAGGUAAUGAAACGAGUUUCAAAUGAACUGAAAUCUUCAUUACCUGAAGCCAACAAGAAGGCACGUGUGGCGUAUUGCCUUGAGAAUUUGGAGCCAAGUUCAUUGGAGGACAAUCCCACUUUUAAAGCUAGUUUUAACAAGGUUCAUUUGGAUGAGAAGAUCUUCUACCGCACAAGGAAGACACAGAAAAUGUACUUGAGUCAUAGAGAGGAAGCACCAAAAAGAGAAUGCAAACAUAAAAACCACAUCCAGCAGAUCAUGUUCUUGUUGGCUAUGGCAAGGCCAAGGUAUGAUUCUCAAGGAAAUUGUGUGUUUGAUGGAAAAAUAGGUGUGUGGGCAUUUGUUGAUUGGGUGCAAGCUCAAAAGAAGAGUGCUAACAGAGGGAGAGGAGAAUGGGAGCUCAAGCCUUCAUCUUCGGUGGACAGGAACAAAAGUAGGGAGUACAUUGUGCAGUAUGUACUGCCUGCUAUAAAGGAAAAAUGGCCUGGGAGUGAUAGAUGGAACACCGUGUACAUUCAGCAAGACAAUGCAAGAACUCAUGUUUUAGCAAAUGAUCCCAUUUUUGCAAUGGAAGCGGCAAAGGGAGGUUGGGAUAUCAGAAUUGUAAAUCAACCACCAAAUUCACCUGACUGUAACAUACUUGAUCAAGCUUGUAUGAGGGAAAUUAUUAAGCACAAGGGGUCGAUGCACUAUGAUACACCUCACAUGAAGAAAAAAACAUUAGAGAGGCUAGGUCUACUGUCAGUCCGUCUGACGGUUGAUAAAGAUUAUGUUGACGCUGCCAUUGAGUAUUUGAACUCACCUUAG